AGGAAAAGAAACCAACAGGGAUUGCCCUAGUAACGGCGAGUGAAGCGGCAACAGCUCAAAUUUGAAAUCUGGCGCAAGCCCGAGUUGUAAUUUGUAGAGGAUGCUUCUAGGUAGCGACCGGUCUAAGUUCCUUGGAACAGGACGUCAUAGAGGGUGAGAAUCCCGUAUGUGACUGGCCCGCACCUUCUACGUAGCUCCUUCGACGAGUCGAGUUGUUUGGGAAUGCAGCUCUAAAUGGGAGGUAAAUUUCUUCUAAAGCUAAAUACCGGCCAGAGACCGAUAGCGCACAAGUAGAGUGAUCGAAAGAUGAAAAGCACUUUGGAAAGAGAGUUAAAAAGCACGUGAAAUUGUUGAAAGGGAAGCGCUCACAACCAGACUUCUAGGCAGUGUUCCGCCGGUCUUUUGACCGGUCUACUCUCUGUCUCGAGGCCAACAUCAUCUGGGACCGCCGGAUAAGACCUUAGGAAUGUAGCUCCCCUCGGGGAGUGUUAUAGCCUCUGGUGAUGCGGCGCGUCUCGGGUGAGGUCCGCGCUUCGGCAAGGAUGUUGGCGUAAUGGUUGUCAGCGGCCCGUCUUGAAACACGGACCAAGGAGUCUAACAUCUAUGCGAGUGUUCGGGUGUCAAACCCCUACGCGUAAUGAAAGUGAACGGAGGUGGGAAGCGUAAGCUGCACCAUCGACCGAUCCUGAUGUCCUCGGAUGGAUUUGAGUAAGAGCAUAGCUGUUGGGACCCGAAAGAUGGUGAACUAUGCCUGAAUAGGGUGAAGCCAGAGGAAACUCUGGUGGAGGCUCGCAGCGGUUCUGACGUGCAAAUCGAUCGUCAAAUUUGGGUAUAGGGGCGAAAGACUAAUC
Molecule: ribosomal RNA, 851 nt
Filed under: Ramularia endophylla
Lineage: Eukaryota; Fungi; Ascomycota; Dothideomycetes; Mycosphaerellales; Mycosphaerellaceae
Description: eukaryotic LSU rRNA
Rfam family: Eukaryotic large subunit ribosomal RNA
Source: RNAcentral